This is a non-coding RNA of Pelobates cultripes (western spadefoot toad), 85 nucleotides long. Lineage: Eukaryota; Metazoa; Chordata; Amphibia; Anura; Pelobatidae. The record is from the annotation of a GenBank genome assembly.
AGUCCAGGCAAUCAGGAUCACUUAUGCAGCAUUUUUAUUAAACAGGAAUAAAACUAUUGCAUAUGUGAUCCUAAGUGCCUGGACU